RNAcentral lists this small RNA (947 nucleotides) under Pan troglodytes (chimpanzee). RNAcentral describes it as "processed transcript". The record is from RNAcentral. Lineage: Eukaryota; Metazoa; Chordata; Mammalia; Primates; Hominidae.
CGUUCGCGGGCUCUGUCUGUGGGGGGCGAGGCCGGAAGGGGGACCCCGGGGCGCGGAUUCGGCCGGGCGGGGGCUCAAAAACGGGGCGGGGGGCCGUGGCGACGCGGGCGCGGGUCCCCCUCCCCCGGCCUGCCCGCUCAGUGUCUCUCUCUCGCUCUCGCUCUCCCCCUCUCUCUCUCUUUCUCUCUUUUUCCGCGAGGCCUACACGACGCCAGGGGUUUGGGUGCUGGAGAAUCUGGUAAAAGCACCAUUGUGAAGCAGAUGAGGAUCCUGCAUGUUAAUGGGUUUAAUGGAGAGGGCGGCGAAGAGGACCCGCAGGCUGCAAGGAGCAACAGCGAUGGUGAGAAGGCAACCAAAGUGCAGGACAUCAAAAACAACCUGAAAGAGGCGAUUGAAACCAUUGUGGCCGCCAUGAGCAACCUGGUGCCCCCCGUGGAGCUGGCCAACCCCGAGAACCAGUUCAGAGUGGACUACAUUCUGAGUGUGAUGAACGUGCCUGACUUUGACUUCCCUCCCGAAUUCUAUGAGCAUGCCAAGGCUCUGUGGGAGGAUGAAGGAGUGCGUGCCUGCUAUGAACGCUCCAACGAGUACCAGCUGAUUGACUGUGCCCAGUACUUCCUGGACAAGAUCGACGUGAUCAAGCAGGCUGACUACGUGCCGAGCGAUCAGGACCUGCUUCGCUGCCGUGUCCUGACUUCUGGAAUCUUUGAGACCAAGUUCCAGGUGGACAAAGUCAACUUCCACAUGUUUGACGUGGGUGGCCAGCGCGAUGAACGCCGCAAGUGGAUCCAGUGCUUCAACGAUGUGACUGCCAUCAUCUUCGUGGUGGCCAGCAGCAGCUACAACAUGGUCAUCCGGGAGGACAACCAGACCAACCGCCUGCAGGAGGCUCUGAACCUCUUCAAGAGCAUCUGGAACAACAGAUGGCUGCGCACCAUCUCUGUGAU